RNAcentral lists this ribosomal RNA (1247 nucleotides) under uncultured Sebacinales. RNAcentral describes it as "eukaryotic LSU rRNA". The stretch from base 599 to 1247 matches the Rfam family "Eukaryotic large subunit ribosomal RNA", at positions 1 to 629 of the family's 3401-position model. Lineage: Eukaryota; Fungi; Basidiomycota; Agaricomycetes; Sebacinales. The record is from RNAcentral.
AAGGAUCAUUAAUGAAACUUCAAAGUCGGCUCUUGUUCUCAUUCUGAUGCUGGUGGAGAGAUCCACAUGUGCACGUUUGGGGGCGAGUCGCAAAAUCCACACACCUGUGCAUCUAUGACUCUGAGUGCCGCUUUGCAUGGCCCUCGCUGGCCUGGCACUCGAGUACCUUUAUCACACUCUGAAUGUAAUGGAAUGUCUAUUGUGCAUAAUGUACAAACUAAAACAACUUUCAACAACGGAUCUCUUGGCUCUCGCAUCGAUGAAGAACGCAGCGAAAUGCGAUAAGUAAUGUGAAUUGCAGAAUUCAGUGAAUCAUCGAAUCUUUGAACGCACCUUGCACCCUUUGGUAUUCCGAAGGGUACGCCCGUUUGAGUGUCAUUGUAAUCUCACCUCUUCGACCUUUUGUGGGUCGACCAGUGUGGACUUGGAUGUUGCUGUGUAACAAACGGCUCGUCUGAAAUUCCUGAGUGUACCCUGCUUUUGCAGCGUAUUCGGUGUGAUACAUCUUCACCGGAGUUUCGACUUUUUGGGUCGGCGCCUAUAUUGUGUGGCUCUAUGCUUCGAACCGUCCCUGAAAAGGACAAUACUCUUGACAAUUUGACCUCAAAUCGGGUGGGACUACCCGCUGAACUUAAGCAUAUCAAUAAGCGGAGGAAAAGAAACUAACAAGGAUUCCCCUAGUAACGGCGAGUGAAGAGGGAAAAGCUCAAAUUUUGAAUCUGGUGUCUUUGGCGCCCGAGUUGUAAUCUAGAGAAGUGUUUUCCGCGUCGGACCGUGCACAAGUUCCCUGGAACGGGGUGUCAUAGAGGGUGAGAAUCCCGUAUAUGGCACGGACUACCGAUGCUCUGUGAUACACUCUCAACGAGUCGAGUUGUUUGGGAAUGCAGCUCAAAAUGGGUGGUAAAUUCCAUCUAAAGCUAAAUAUUGGCGAGAGACCGAUAGCGAACAAGUACCGUGAGGGAAAGAUGAAAAGCACUUUGGAAAGAGAGUGAAACAGUACGUGAAAUUGUUGAAAGGGAAGCGUUUGAAGUCAGUCGUAUCUGGUGGGAUUCAGCCUGGCUUCUGCCUGGUGUACUUUCCGUCCGAUGGGUCAGCAUCAAUUCAGACCGAGGGAAAAAGAUGUUGGGAAUGUGGCUGUCUUCGGGCAGUGUUAUAGCCCGAUGUUGUAUGCCUCGGUUGGGAUUGAGGAUCGCAGCGCGCCUAUAGGCCAGGGGCGAAAGCCUCUUGACACGCGCUUAGGAUGCUGG